AGCAGCCGCGGUAAUUCCAGCUCCAAUAGCGUAUAUUAAAGUUGUUGCAGUUAAAAAGCUCGUAGUUGAAUUUCGGGAUCAAUAUAUCGGUCGUGCCAUCGGUACGUACUGGUAUGAUUGGUUUCUACCUUCUGAAGAACCUUGAUGUCAUUAAUUUGGUGUCUUGGGGAAUCAGGGCUGUUACUUUGAAAAAAU
RNAcentral lists this ribosomal RNA (195 nucleotides) under uncultured Funneliformis. Its description in RNAcentral is "partial 18S ribosomal RNA". It matches the Rfam family "Eukaryotic small subunit ribosomal RNA", at positions 569 to 766 of the family's 1831-position model. The record is from RNAcentral. Lineage: Eukaryota; Fungi; Glomeromycota; Glomeromycetes; Glomerales; Glomeraceae.